Molecule: long non-coding RNA, 1181 nt
Filed under: Citrus sinensis (sweet orange)
Lineage: Eukaryota; Viridiplantae; Streptophyta; Magnoliopsida; Sapindales; Rutaceae
Description: long non-coding RNA (CSIN_LNC005127)
Source: RNAcentral
CAAGUAUUCAACAUCUAUCAACAAAACCUCAAAAGUUUUCAUCAAUCAUCCAUCAAGACAUAAAACUACAAAAGUUGCCAUUUCAACAUUCAUCUCAACAUCCACCAAGUCGAAGCAUAAAUGGUCUACAAACACAAAGUUACAAAGUGCAAACAUAAGUAGUUUCCAAAACACAAUAUCCAAACUUACUAGUUUUCAAAGCACAAACUCCAGACGUAAGUAGUCUUCAAAACACAAAGUCACAAAGUUCAAACAUAAUUAAAUAGUAUCCAAACACAUCUAAAAAUAAAUAGUCUCCAAAACACAAUUUAAAAAUAAGUAGUCUCCAAAACACAAAGUUUAAAGAUAAAUACUAAAUAGCCUUCCUCCACUCUAGCACUUCCACAAGCUAUCAACUUCAACUUCUUGUACUCCAACUGGGCAACUACCAUUCUACCAACUUCAACUUACCUAACAUUAGAACACUAAAACAAUUACAACAUUACAAUAAUUAAUAAUAAUACUAAGGUAAUCAUGCUAAGAACAAUUAAUAAUAACACUUUUCAGUUGAUAAAUUAUUUAGACCCUCAAUCUACGGAAUAAGCAAUUAAGCAUAACUUUACUUGUAAAAUUGACGAUUACUUGUAACAUAUUUCUUUUGACAUUUUUUUAACAUUUAAUUAAUUCUCAUUGAAAAUAAAAUUAAAAAAAUAAUUGUCAAAUUAGGUCCGAAGGGGUCAGAGCUCAAUUCUCAUGCUCACUAUAUUACUAAUUCUGAUUAAAUAAUGUAUGACUUGUUGGGUUGCAUUAUUAAGCAUAAAAGCAUUUUUUAAAUUGUUUAAUUAGUAAUCAAAUUGAAAUUUUACCAUGAAAAUUCGAAGAAGUCACAGCUGGCAGGCAAGGCUGGAUCUAAGAAUGUCGCGGACGAUCGAACUUUGAGGCACAGUCAUCGAUCGAGGUGCUUUGCAAGUGGCACGGUCGAAGUUAAAGAAGCUACUGGUGGGACGGUCGCGGUGGAGCAGUGGAGAUUUCACGACGCGGUUACUUGGCAGUAGUGAGAUGUCAGCGGUGGGUGGCUAGGUGUAGCGCUGACCCUGAGUUUGUGUGUGCUGCUGAGCUUGGGAGUUAGAUAGAGUGGUCUGUAUUGUGUUGUUUAGAAUUAAUUAGUCAGUUAGAUGGCGAUUAAGUUAAAAAAAAUUGUU